CUUGGCUACAUUGUGGCUUGCGGAGCAGCUUGUGCGGCGAGAGGGUCUUUGUGCCCCUUGGCCGAGACGCGGGGCCGGGAGCCGAGCCUGGGAAAGAGUUACGCCUGCGGAGCUGCUUGUUCCAAAGGGUUGUACCCUGCUUGCUCCUGCAUCUGGGACGAGCUGGGGCAAGGCUGUCUCGCCUGCACCACCUCAGAGGUUGUCAUCCAGUCCUCCUCACUUCCAUCUUUGAACCUUUUGAAAAGUUCCUUGCAUGAAGUGAGAUGAACAAAGCCCAAGCGCCGAUGUUAUUUGUGGGGGGGGUAACUAACAGCUGCAAUCUCCCAAACUUCGAUAGUACACACCUCCUGAAACUGAUGUGGUUAUUUUAACACCUCGACUUCGUGUCUACUAGCCCUGUUCCACUGGAAGCUAUUUUUGCCUGUAUUUUGUCACCUCGGUAGCAUCCGUUUAGCUUUCUCUCAAGUGAGCUGUUCUUGACCACAGAACGUGCCCUUCAGCAGUAUUGCAGGGGUGCCUGCCUGUGACAUUCCCUACAUUUCCCUUGCUUUUGUGAACAGCCUGAGCAUAAACAUGGCCAGGGCAGGGAGAGAUACUGCGAUGUGUGAUGGGAUUUGGAUACCUGCCUUCUUCGGGGGGGCUACUUGAAAAUCCCUGCCAAAAUCUUGUGUUUCCUUUAGAUUCCUUUGCUUAAAGGUGUGGGAGUUUUCCGCUCGGAAGAGCUUGCUGAAAAACAAAUGGGUAUUCUCAUUAGGGUUAACGUGUUUAAUUUCCACUUCCAAUGUUCCAUUUGUUUUUUUCUGUUAGCGUUUAACUGCUGUGACACAAACCCACUUCAUGCGAGCUGUCCAAGACUGUCUGCUCAGUGGAAAACAGAUUGGCUCUCCUUACCUCACCAGUGUCUGUAGGAAAGAGCAGCACUGAAGAUACAGCAACUUUGGAACACAAAGAUAGGACACUUGAGGGCAGGACGUCUCCAAAAUGCAGCCCAAAAGGCAGACUCAUAAACUGAAAUCCAGAAGCGUUUGAUUUCUUCAUGAAACACUCUUGUUGCUCUUUAAAAGCACAGUAAAAUAAACCAUGAAUUAAACAGAGCAAACUCAUGCAGUUCUGUUUGAGAGGGCUCCAAAGUGGAGCAAAUGAUACGUGUGUUUUGUCACCUCAAGGUUAAUGACCAGUUGUUGCUGAAUCACUGAUACUUCUCACUAAAGCUUUAGGCUGGAUACCUCUGAAUUCUGGGCUAAAUUUCACAUAAUUACAUGCUGUUAUGUUCCUCUCCUUUAUUUUUUUUUUCCAUUAGGAAAAAUAUUUGUUAUUAUUUUCUCUCAGCUGUUACUUAAGCUGUUUUCUGAUGUGAAAUGGUCACUGUAUUUUAUAGCACAGGUAGUCUGCCAUGGGAGGUUUGUAAUGAGAAGAGACUUAAUUAAAUUAGUUUGAUGGUAUCAUGAUAAAUCAACCCCCUCAGUCCUAACAGUGAAGUACAAUAGAGCUAGCAGCAAACAAUGUUGCUCAGUGCUUUUCUGUUCUAGUUUCCAGUUGCUCGUAACUGCUAGCCUGAACUGAAAUUUCCCCUGCUGGAGAUCUGAUUACAUCUGUUUUAUUUUAGCUUCUUUUUGGUUGUUUUGUUUAGUAUUAUGAUUAGUUUGCUUUGUUUUUUUGGAAGUUCCAUCAAGCCAACUGCACGGAUGAGUUUAGGGGAAAAUACAUGU
This is a long non-coding RNA of Pogoniulus pusillus (Red-fronted tinkerbird), 1709 nucleotides long. RefSeq lists it as uncharacterized. The record is from RefSeq and is a predicted model, not a curated record. Lineage: Eukaryota; Metazoa; Chordata; Aves; Piciformes; Lybiidae. The transcript has 2 exons.